RNAcentral lists this ribosomal RNA (434 nucleotides) under uncultured organism. Its description in RNAcentral is "bacterial SSU rRNA". It matches the Rfam family "Bacterial small subunit ribosomal RNA", at positions 346 to 794 of the family's 1533-position model. The record is from RNAcentral.
GUGCACCAGUCGAGAAUUUUUCACAAUGGGGGAAACCCUGAUGGAGCGACGCCGCGUGGAGGAUGAAGGUAUUCGUAUCGUAAACUCCUGUCAAACGGGAACAAGAAAGUGAUAGUACCGUUAGAGGAAGAGACGGCUAACUCUGUGCCAGCAGCCACGGUAAUACAGAGGUCUCAAGCGUUGUUCGGAUUCAUUGGGCGUAAAGGGUGCGCAGGCUGUGGGGUAAGUCGGAUGUGAAAUUUAGGGGCUCAACCCCUAAACUGCAUUCGAUACUGCUCCGCUAGAGGACUGUAGAGGAGAUUGGAAUUCACGGUGUAGCAGUGAAAUGCGUAGAUAUCGUGAGGAAGACCAGUGGCGAAGGCGAAUCUCUGGGCAGUUCCUGACGCUCAUGCACGAAGGCCAGGGGAGCAAACGGGAUUAGAUACCCCGGUAGU